RNAcentral lists this ribosomal RNA (806 nucleotides) under uncultured bacterium. RNAcentral describes it as "bacterial SSU rRNA". It matches the Rfam family "Bacterial small subunit ribosomal RNA", at positions 62 to 869 of the family's 1533-position model. The record is from RNAcentral.
UCGACGAAGCGCUUUAACCUGAUUCUUCGGAUGAAGGUUUUUGCGACUGAGUGGCGGACGGGUGAGUAACGCGUGGGUAACCUGCCUCGUACAGGGGGAUAACAGUUAGAAAUGACUGCUAAUACCGCAUAAGACCACGGAGCCGCAUGGCUCAGUGGGAAAAACUCCGGUGGUAUGAGAUGGACCCGCGUCUGAUUAGGUAGUUGGUGGGGUAACGGCCUACCAAGCCGACGAUCAGUAGCCGACCUGAGAGGGUGACCGGCCACAUUGGGACUGAGACACGGCCCAAACUCCUACGGGAGGCAGCAGUGGGGAAUAUUGCACAAUGGGGGAAACCCUGAUGCAGCGACGCCGCGUGAGCGAAGAAGUGUUUCGGUAUGUAAAGCUCUAUCAGCAGGGAAGAAAAUGACGGUACCUGACUAAGAAGCACCGGCUAAAUACGUGCCAGCAGCCGCGGUAAUACGUAUGGUGCAAGCGUUAUCCGGAUUUACUGGGUGUAAAGGGAGCGUAGACGGCUGUGUAAGUCUGAAGUGAAAGCCCGGGGCUCAACCCCGGGACUGCUUUGGAAACUAUGCAGCUAGAGUGUCGGAGAGGUAAGUGGAAUUCCCAGUGUAGCGGUGAAAUGCGUAGAUAUUGGGAGGAACACCAGUGGCGAAGGCGGCUUACUGGACGAUGACUGACGUUGAGGCUCGAAAGCGUGNGGAGCAAACAGGAUUAGAUNCCCUGGUAGUCCACGCCGUAAACGAUGACUACUAGGUGUCGGGGAGCAAAGCUCUUCGGUGCCGCAGCAAACGCAAUAAGUAGUC